ACGAUCACCUUCAUACUAAUAAAUUAUUUUCAAUGAUAAAACUUCCGAAUCAACGAUAUCCAGACUGUUAAACAUUCACUACAACAGAAUUAGGUUAUAGGGACACAUGUUUGGGCACUUGUGUAAGUGUCAUAUUUAUGCCAAAACUUAAAAAGAAAACUACUAAUGCCUAAAUAUAAAGUCUAAUCCAAUCAAAAAUAAAAGGGUACUCUGUUCAACCCAUCUCACCCAGCCCAUUCGGCCUGAUUACACACAGAAAAGAAAAAUAAAAGAAAAAGAAAAGAAAAUUCGAUUACUAUUUUUCCUUCUCCUCUCACUCAAUCGACUGAAAAUCUAGACGAAGAUCCCUUCCUCUUGUCCUCCUCCGCCACCGCAGCCAACGAGGUAGAGUUCCGGUGGUUGCUAGAUGCUUAAAUAAAUGUUGGUAAAUUAGCAGCACUCUUUUAGAUUAUAGCGAUACUCUUUAACUGUCACUAUAUACCUAGCGACCCUACAUAUAGCAACACUUUUUAAAAGUGUCGGUAAUUUAGCCAGCAGCACUUCUUUUGACUUAUACCGACAUUUAAAAGUGUCGCUAUAGACCGUUUUUGUUGUAGUGAUUAUCUAGAGCAUUUAAAACUUCUAGAAAUCAAAUUUUAUAAUUUUUCGAUAUCAUUUACCUUACGAUCAAAAGCUCACAAAAUUGACAAUUUUUAACGGCCGAUAUAUGAUACUUGCUAGUUUAAUGGUGUAAAAGAAUCAGAGGAGAAUAGGUUUAAUUUUUGGCAGAAAACUCUAUUCACUGUGUAGAUAAAGAUCAAUAACCCCGAUCUUAAAUUGAAGGAUCCGAUCAUCCGUUUUUAGGGUGUCGUUCGAUUUUGACUGUUCAUUUUAUACCUGCUUGAUGGACAUUAUAAUGAUUUCGAAAAAUUACAAAAUUUACUUUUUAGAAGUUUUAAAUAUUUUAGAUCAUGUUUAACAGUGUGGAUCGUCGAUUUGGAAGCCCCAACAUCAAAAACAACUUAUGAGUACGAAGGACUCUAUACUCAUAAG
This 1032-nucleotide long non-coding RNA is filed under the name Ananas comosus (pineapple). Its description in RNAcentral is "long non-coding RNA (ACOM_LNC006884)". Lineage: Eukaryota; Viridiplantae; Streptophyta; Magnoliopsida; Poales; Bromeliaceae. The record is from RNAcentral.